ACUAGUUUGGCAGAUUUAAGUGCUUUAAAUUUAGAAUUUAAUGAUGUAUUUUUUACAGUUAGUA
This 64-nucleotide transfer RNA is filed under the name Penthicodes variegata. RNAcentral describes it as "tRNA-Leu". Lineage: Eukaryota; Metazoa; Arthropoda; Insecta; Hemiptera; Fulgoridae. The record is from RNAcentral.